This 91-nucleotide microRNA precursor is filed under the name Mesocricetus auratus (golden hamster). RNAcentral describes it as "miRNA (ENSMAUG00000001956.1)". The record is from RNAcentral. Lineage: Eukaryota; Metazoa; Chordata; Mammalia; Rodentia; Cricetidae.
GUCCGCUGCCGCGGGAUCCGUGGCUGUGUUGGGCUUGCAGGUGGAACUGGAGCUGACCGUGAAGGAGCUGCCGCUCGGCCGGGGUGCACCA